This is a long non-coding RNA of Daphnia carinata, 357 nucleotides long. RefSeq lists it as uncharacterized. NCBI's taxonomy places the organism in Eukaryota, Metazoa, Arthropoda, Branchiopoda, Diplostraca, Daphniidae. The transcript has 3 exons. The record is from RefSeq and is a predicted model, not a curated record.
GAAUGUUUGUUUAUUACGACACCACACAUUAUACAACGUUGCAUUAAUUUUCCCAACAAAGCUCCUGGAUCUUGUGAAGUGCAGCUACAGCCAAUUGCUACGUUAGUGGAAAACAUUCGCACUAGUUCGCCUGUCGUCGAGUUGUGCAUCGAAACUUGUACAGUUGUCAUUAGCUGCUUGCAGUUGCGUCCAGGCCCAGCGCAGUUCCCAGCAAUGCAAAGUCCUGAACAAAUGAUUUCGUUCAUGUCUAAGGCAGUUUCGGGAUGUUUUCCUAGUUCAACCAGUUCGUCAGUGAUGGAAACAACGCGAGGGUGGCAAUCCUCCCCUUCAUCAUCAGCCGACCAUAUUUGCCGGAUA